Acanthopagrus latus (yellowfin seabream) is the source of this 411-nucleotide long non-coding RNA. RefSeq lists it as uncharacterized. Lineage: Eukaryota; Metazoa; Chordata; Actinopteri; Spariformes; Sparidae. The transcript is spliced from 3 exons. The record is from RefSeq and is a predicted model, not a curated record.
UGACGAUGAAGGUCACCUGAUGCUGGAUCUGCUCCCCACAUCGAUUGUUGUCUGCAAGCAACAUUAUCAAUAACCAACUCCGACUGAAGAGCUGACCAGACGUGAAGGCUAAACAGAAAGAGGAGAGGGAGAUACUUGAAUGGCAGGGGCGCGUAUGUUCUAUAUGUUACAACAGCCCAGACUCCCACAGGAAUACAGUCACGGCAACAAAGGUGACUGCAGCGAUGCUGAAGAGGGACCAGGGUGAAGCAGGUGGAAGGAAGGGGAGCUUGCACUACGUUUUCAAAUGAAUGAAUAGCCCCAGAGUUUGCGUAAUUAAAAAUAACAACAAGGUACAACAAAGCUCUUUACUGCUGUGUGAUUCGGACUAGAUUGAGGAGCAGGAAGUUGCUUUAUCUCAAAAAUGAUGUG